UGGGGAAUUUUGGGCAAUGGGCGAAAGCCUGAUCCAGCAAUGCCGCGUGUGUGAAGAAGGCCUUCGGGUUGUAAAGCACUUUUGUCCGGAAAGAAAUCCUUGGCUCUAAUACAGUCGGGGGAUGACGGUACCGGAAGAAUAAGCACCGGCUAACUACGUGCCAGCAGCCGCGGUAAUACGUAGGGUGCAAGCGUUAAUCGGAAUUACUGGGCGUAAAGCGUGCGCAGGCGGUUUGCUAAGACCGAUGUGAAAUCCCCGGGCUCAACCUGGGAACUGCAUUGGUGACUGGCAGGCUAGAGUAUGGCAGAGGGGGGUAGAAUUCCACGUGUAGCAGUGAAAUGCGUAGAGAUGUGGAGGAAUACCGAUGGCGAAGGCAGCCCCCUGGGCCAAUACUGACGCUCAUGCACGAAAGCGUGGGGAGCAAACAGGAUUAGAUACCCUGGUAGUCCACGCCCUAAACGAUGUCAACUAGUUGUUGGGGAUUCAUUUCCUUAGUAACGUAGCUAACGCGUGAAGUUGACCGCCUGGGGAGUACGGUCGCAAGAUUAAAACUUAAAUGAAUUGACGGGGUCAUAGCUGUUUCCU
RNAcentral lists this ribosomal RNA (585 nucleotides) under uncultured bacterium. RNAcentral's name for it is "partial 16S ribosomal RNA". It matches the Rfam family "Bacterial small subunit ribosomal RNA", at positions 355 to 1375 of the family's 1533-position model. The record is from RNAcentral.